This 505-nucleotide ribosomal RNA is filed under the name uncultured bacterium. RNAcentral's name for it is "partial 16S ribosomal RNA". It matches the Rfam family "Bacterial small subunit ribosomal RNA", at positions 28 to 523 of the family's 1533-position model. The record is from RNAcentral.
GAUGAACGCUAGCUACAGGCUUAACACAUGCAAGUCGAGGGGUAACGAGAGGAAAGCUUGCUUUCCUUGUCGACGACCGGCGCACGGGUGAGUAACGCGUAUCCAACCUGCCCCCAACUAGGGAAUAACCUUGCGAAAGUAAGACUAAUACCCUAUAAUUUCCUCAGAUGCCAUCUGACGAGGAAUAAAGAUUUAUCGGUUGUGGAUGGGGAUGCGUCUGAUUAGCUUGUUGGCGGGGUAACGGCCCACCAAGGCAACGAUCAGUAGGGGUUCUGAGAGGAAGGUCCCCCACAUUGGAACUGAGACACGGUCCAAACUCCUACGGGAGGCAGCAGUGAGGAAUAUUGGUCAAUGGGCGGAAGCCUGAACCAGCCAAGUAGCGUGCAGGAUGACGGCCCUAUGGGUUGUAACUGCAUUUAUACAGGAAUAAAGUUAGCCACGUGUGGUUAUUUGUAGGUACUGUAUGAAUAAGGACCGGCUAAUUCCGUGCCAGCCGCCGCGGUAA